AACGAACGCUGGCGGCAUGCCUAACACAUGCAAGUCGAACGAGAUCUUCGGGUCUAGUGGCGCACGGGUGCGUAACGCGUGGGAAUCUGCCCUUUGGCUCGGCAUAACAGUUGGAAACGCCUGCUAAUACCGGAUGAUGUCCAAAGUCCAGAGAUUUAUCGACAGAGGAUGAGACCGAGUAGGAAUAGCUAGUUGGUGUGGUAAAGGCGCACCAAGGCGAGGAUCCUUAGCUGGUCUGAGAGGAUGAGCCGACACACUGGGGCUGAGACACGGCCCAGACUCCUAGGGGAGGCGGCAGUGGGGGAUAGUGGACAGUGGGCGAAAGGCUGAUGCAGCAAUGCCGGGUGAGUGAUGAAGGCCUUAGGGUUGUAAAGCUCUUUUACCCGGGAUGAUAAUGACAGUACCGGGAGAAUAAGCUCCGGCUAACUCCGUGCCAGCCGCCGCAGUAA
Molecule: ribosomal RNA, 449 nt
Filed under: uncultured bacterium
Lineage: Bacteria
Description: partial 16S ribosomal RNA
Rfam family: Bacterial small subunit ribosomal RNA
Source: RNAcentral